This 305-nucleotide ribosomal RNA is filed under the name uncultured bacterium. RNAcentral describes it as "bacterial SSU rRNA". It matches the Rfam family "Bacterial small subunit ribosomal RNA", at positions 333 to 654 of the family's 1533-position model. The record is from RNAcentral.
UGAGGCCUACGGGAGGCAGCAGCGGGGAAUAUUGCACAAUGGGGGAAACCCUGAUGCAGCAACGCCGCGUGAGUGAAGAAGUAUUUCGGUAUGUAAAGCUCUAUCAGCAGGGAAGAAGAAAGGCGGUACCUGACUAAGAAGCCCCGGCUAACUACGUGCCAGCAGCCGCGGUAAUACGUAGGGGGCAAGCGUUAUCCGGAAUUACUGGGUGUAAAGGGAGCGUAGACGGUUAAGUAAGUCUGGAGUGAAAGGCCGGGGCCCAACCCCGGGACUGCUCUGGAAAAUAUUGAACUUGAGUGCAGGAG